AAGCCAUGAUGUGGGCAUUGAGACCAAUAGCCCUUGAACCUCUCCCAUGCUUCACUAAAUCCCUCUACGUUCUUCUGCUGAAAGCUAGAGAUCUCAUUCCUGAUUUU
RNAcentral lists this small nucleolar RNA (107 nucleotides) under Brassica oleracea var. oleracea. Its description in RNAcentral is "Plant small nucleolar RNA R71". It matches the Rfam family "Plant small nucleolar RNA R71". From Rfam's summary of the family: R71 is a member of the C/D box family of snoRNAs containing the C (UGAUGA) and D (CUGA) box motifs. Multiple nearly identical copies of this snoRNA have been identified in Arabidopsis, and it is thought to function as a 2'-O-ribose methylation guide for 18S ribosomal RNA. The record is from Rfam by way of RNAcentral. Lineage: Eukaryota; Viridiplantae; Streptophyta; Magnoliopsida; Brassicales; Brassicaceae.